CAGUCGUACCAGCGGGAAAUCAACCUUUCGAGUGGGGUUUUGGAGUUUUGAAGAGUGUCAAUACCUUUGAGAUUUCAAAAUGCUCGCUCCUUUGGUGUACUUUCUCGUAGGUAGGUUAACAUCGAUUUCGAUUCAUCAUAAAAGGAUUGGAGGAAUGUAGCUUCGAUCUUGUAUUGAAGUGUUAUAGCCUUUGGUAGAUGUGAUGUUUGAGACCGAGGAUUGCAACGCAUACCCUUCAGGGCUAUUCGUCUGAUCUCUGAUACGUUGCCUCGGUAACGAAAGCGUGCUUACGGUAUUGAGGUAUUACGGUCAAAAGGUUAGAACGUGAUUACA
This 333-nucleotide ribosomal RNA is filed under the name uncultured Glomeromycotina. RNAcentral's name for it is "LSU rRNA". The record is from RNAcentral. Lineage: Eukaryota; Fungi; Glomeromycota.